This 253-nucleotide ribosomal RNA is filed under the name uncultured bacterium. RNAcentral describes it as "partial 16S ribosomal RNA". It matches the Rfam family "Bacterial small subunit ribosomal RNA", at positions 524 to 776 of the family's 1533-position model. The record is from RNAcentral.
UACGGGGGGGGUAAGCGUUGUUCGGAAUUACUGGGCGUAAAGGGCUCGUAGGCGGCCAACUAAGUCAGACGUGAAAUCCCUCGGCUUAACCGGGGAACUGCGUCCGAUACUGGAUGGCUUGAGAUUGGGAGAGGGAUGCGGAAUUCCAGGUGUAGCGGUGAAAUGCGUAGAUAUCUGGAGGAACACCGAUGGCGAAGGCAGCCCCCUGGGCUAACACUGACGCUCAUGCACGAAAGCGUGGGGAGCAAACAGG